Molecule: long non-coding RNA, 1133 nt
Filed under: Bemisia tabaci
Lineage: Eukaryota; Metazoa; Arthropoda; Insecta; Hemiptera; Aleyrodidae
Description: lncRNA ENSSSA1NGG002929
Source: RNAcentral
AUGGCCAAUGACGGAGAUGCCCUGCAGAUCACUACACAGAGGCCCCACGUUACGCACAACGCGACAGCGUUCAUGGCUUUAUUCUUAAUUGUACGAGAUGUCUUUGAAAAGAAACGAUUCAAUUUUCGAAUGGGCUACGAUGAAACUAAAAGCACCAUAGUUUUAGGGCUGGAUAGUCAGGGAUUCGCCCCUAAUUCGGAUUUUUUAAUUCUAGUUUUUUGGUGUUUUCUCUUGGUCCACUCAAGACAGAGCGUGUUGACGGUUAUGAUCCAGAUUUUUUAUCGCUGAAAAGUAACUCUCUUAAACCGCGGGACACUCGCACUUGGAGUUGGGAUGGAGACCGACCAAGUGAAGACUCCUGUUAGUAAAAAUUUUUGAAUUUGGUAUAAACAUCUAAAUCAUUCUGCAAAAACUCGUUGAAAUUUGACUGAAUCUGAAAAUAUAAGUUUUUCAAUAAAUAUAUCUGAACUGUGUUUCCUCCACCUUUUCUGAAUCAUUCUUCACUUAGAGGGCUGAAAGGAUAUUCUACAAAAUAUCAACGAGACAAACAUUUACUCAAUUUCACUUGCCCAUUUUUUCCGCAUUCAUCAUUAUUGCGUGCGAUCUCAAGUUCAGGGUCAAUUACUGUCGUGUGGCACGACAAGCAUAUUUGAACAUAUGUCGAACAUUAUGACCCCACGUAUUUCAUCCAUGUUUACGUCAUUCGAAGAAUUGAGAACUGAAACACUUAACUUACUACGGAAAGUUACUAUUGGGCCAUUUGAUUUUCUGGUCAAAGGAUACCAAAAUGCUAUAGAUUACCAUUCGACGGUGAAACUACCAAACCACGUAUCUCGUUUGCGGUGUUUAAAAAUCUACGCUCGCAUUUUAUUUUUUUGAAAUAGACCAAAUCAAUAUUAUUCCUUGAAAUUUUCACAGAAUUUUCUCCGCACAAAGAGGAAAAAUCACAGAAAUUUUCAAGACUGGACGUUAAGUAGUUUUUCAUUUAAAAAAUAAAGUAUGACAGGAAGUCUGCGACGUCGCAAACCGAGAUACGUGGUUUGGUAGUUUCACCGUCGCAUUACUGUUCCAGUAUUGAUCUCAUCAUUUUUUCGACGAUGUUCCAAAAGUAGACUUGCAUAUUACAAAAUAGC